GGAACGCUUUAGGGGUGCUGAAAGGCUGAGAUAUACCCUUGGAACCUGAACAGGAUAAUGCCUGCGAAGGGAAAAGUGUGCUACCGUAU
This 89-nucleotide non-coding RNA is filed under the name Rufibacter tibetensis. RNAcentral describes it as "TPP sequence". It matches the Rfam family "TPP riboswitch aptamer (THI element)". From Rfam's summary of the family: Vitamin B(1) in its active form thiamin pyrophosphate (TPP) is an essential coenzyme that is synthesised by coupling of pyrimidine and thiazole moieties in bacteria. The previously detected thiamin-regulatory element, thi box was extended, resulting in a new, highly conserved RNA secondary structure, the THI element, which is widely distributed in eubacteria and also occurs in some archaea. Lineage: Bacteria; Pseudomonadati; Bacteroidota; Cytophagia; Cytophagales; Hymenobacteraceae. The record is from Rfam by way of RNAcentral.